CAAUACAUUCAGUGGCGAACGGGUGAGUAACGCGUGGAUAAUCUACCUACGAGAUGGGGAUAACUAUUAGAAAUAGUAGCUAAUACCGAAUAAAGUCAAUUGAGAUGUUAAUUGAUGAAAGGAAGCCUUUAAAGCUUCGCUUGUAGAUGAGUCUGCGUCUUAUUAGCUAGUUGGUAGGGUAAGAGCCUACCAAGGCUAUGAUAAGUAACCGGCCUGAGAGGGUGAUCGGUCACACUGGAACUGAGAUACGGUCCAGACUCCUACGGGAGGCAGCAGCUAAGAAUCUUCCGCAAUGGGCGAAAGCCUGACGGAGCGACACUGCGUGAACGAAGAAGGUCGAAAGAUUGUAAAGUUCUUUUAUAAAUGAGGAAUAAGCUUUGUAGGAAAUGACAAAGUGAUGACGUUAGUUUAUGAAUAAGCCCCGGCUAAUUACGUGCCAGCAGCCGCGGUAAUACGUAAGGGGCGAGCGUUGUUCGGGAUCAUUGGGCGUAAAGGGUGAGUAGGCGGAUAUGUAAGUCUAUGUGUAAAAUACCACAGCUCAACUGUGGAACUAUGCUAGAAACUGCAUGACUAGAGUCUGAUAGGGGAAGUUAGAAUUCCUGGUGUAAGGGUGGAAUCUGUUGAUUCRAAAAA
RNAcentral lists this ribosomal RNA (633 nucleotides) under uncultured Borrelia sp. Its description in RNAcentral is "bacterial SSU rRNA". It matches the Rfam family "Bacterial small subunit ribosomal RNA", at positions 84 to 703 of the family's 1533-position model. Lineage: Bacteria; Pseudomonadati; Spirochaetota; Spirochaetia; Spirochaetales; Borreliaceae. The record is from RNAcentral.